GACAAACGCUGGCGGCAUGCCUAACACAUGCAAGUCGAACGGACAGAACAGGGAAGCUUUUCGGAGUGGAACUGGAAAGUUAGUGGCGGAUGGGUGAGUAACGCGUGGACAACCUACCUUGUAAAGGGGAAUAACCUCGAGAAAUCGAAGCUAAUACCCCAUAAUAACCUUGCUUCGCAUGAAGUAAGGAGGAAAGGCGGCCUUAGCGCUGUCGAUACAAGAUGGGUCCGCGUCUGAUUAGCUAGUUGGUGAGGUAAAGGCUCACCAAGGCGACGAUCAGUAGCCGGCCUGAGAGGGUGAACGGCCACAUUGGGACUGAGACACGGCCCAAACUCCUACGGGAGGCAGCAGUGGGGAAUCUUCCGCAAUGGGCGAAAGCCUGACGGAGCAAUGCCGCGUGAGUGAAGAAGGCCUUCGGGUUGUAAAACUCUGUCAUUAUCGAAGAGAGAGUGUUGUAGUAACUGACAAUACUAGGACGGUAGAUGAGGAGGAAGCCCCGGCUAACUAUGUG
This 511-nucleotide ribosomal RNA is filed under the name uncultured bacterium. RNAcentral's name for it is "partial 16S ribosomal RNA". It matches the Rfam family "Bacterial small subunit ribosomal RNA", at positions 28 to 507 of the family's 1533-position model. The record is from RNAcentral.